RNAcentral lists this transfer RNA (77 nucleotides) under Planctomycetota bacterium. RNAcentral describes it as "Planctomycetes bacterium (groundwater metagenome) tRNA-His". It matches the Rfam family "tRNA". Rfam says of the family: Transfer RNA (tRNA) molecules are approximately 80 nucleotides in length. Their secondary structure includes four short double-helical elements and three loops (D, anti-codon, and T loops). Lineage: Bacteria; Pseudomonadati; Planctomycetota. The record is from RNAcentral.
GUGGGCGUAGCGCAAUUGGUUAGAGCAGCAGGUUGUGGUCCUGCAGGUUGGGGGUUCGAGUCCCCUCGCUCACCCCA